RNAcentral lists this long non-coding RNA (246 nucleotides) under Lathyrus oleraceus (garden pea). RNAcentral describes it as "Pisum sativum (pea) long non-coding RNA (PSAT_LNC032705)". The record is from RNAcentral. Lineage: Eukaryota; Viridiplantae; Streptophyta; Magnoliopsida; Fabales; Fabaceae.
UCCAAAAUUGAAUAUCAGAUACUUUGAAGUAAGCUUGGAUAGCAAGGCAAAUGUACAUUGGUGUUUGAAGCUUGACCUUUGCCAAGUGAUGUCAGCCUGUUUAAGCCAUGCGCAGCCUAUGCAUUUCUUGUCCAAAUUAAAUUAAUUUGAGCUUUUUGGAAAGGUGAGAUCAAGCGGAACAACUUUCAUGUUCAACACUUUUUAAUUUGGAGCUUAGAACUUGGAGAAAUUUGAGGUGGAAGUUUG